GAUGAACGCUGGCGGCGUGCCUAAUACAUGCAAGUCGAGCGAACAGACGAUGAGCUUGCUCCUCUGCCGUUAGCGGCGGACGGGUGAGUAACACGUGGAUAACCUACCUAUAUGACUGGGAUAACUUCGGGAAACCGGAGCUAAUACCGGAUCAUAUAUUGAACCGCAUGGUUCAAUAGUGAAAGACGGUUUUGCUGUCUCUUAUAGAUGGAUCCGCGCCGCAUUAGCUAGUUGGUAAGGUAACGGCUUACCAAGGCGACGAUGCGUAGCCGACCUGAGAGGGUGAUCGGCCACACUGGAACUGAGACACGGUCCAGACUCCUACGGGAGGCAGCAGUAGGGAAUCUUCCGCAAUGGGCGAAAGCCUGACGGAGCAACGCCGCGUGAGUGAUGAAGGUCUUCGGAUCGUAAAACUCUGUUAUUAGGGAAGAACAAAUGUGUAAGUAACUAUGCACGUCUUGACGGUACCUAAUCAGAAAGCCACGGCUAACUACGUG
Molecule: ribosomal RNA, 497 nt
Filed under: uncultured bacterium
Lineage: Bacteria
Description: partial 16S ribosomal RNA
Rfam family: Bacterial small subunit ribosomal RNA
Source: RNAcentral